UUGGUCUCGCCUUCUUCGCCUCUUUUCGGCUCCAAAAGUUUUAAAGGCAUUGGGAAUGCGUUGGGACGUCAUGCGUGCGGUGUGAUGGUCCGCAGGAACAGGAUGGAAUUCACUUUAAGCGGAUGCCGGUUUCUAACAGGGGCAGAAUUUAUGGCAGUGGAGUUCGCAGCAAAUCCGGGACAACAAGAAGAGUUGACCUCACUUACUUACAGGACAAAAAAUGUGCAUGGAGUUGUUACCCCUAAACCAAACUCACAAAUCGCACACAAUAUCCUAUUGGAUAUCAACCAUGGAUGAAGCAAGAAACAUGAUUUGCAAUGAUUCAUACAGCAUUGCUCUAAUUCGCUCAUGAAUGGCUAUAAUAUGUAAUAGAAGAAAAAGUGCGUCAAACAAGGAAGAGACGGGCAUGCCACUUACGCUACCUAUGUACAAAUUACAAGUACAGGGUUUGCAACUUUUACGGUAUGAUAUUAUGAUGUACUCGGCAGUUAUGAUGAUAUCGACCAUGCAUCUAUGAUGUACUCGACCAUGCAGUUUGUGCUGUAUUCUUUUUUAAGUAUGCAUGCG
Musa acuminata AAA Group (dessert banana) is the source of this 567-nucleotide long non-coding RNA. RefSeq lists it as uncharacterized. The record is from RefSeq and is a predicted model, not a curated record. The transcript has 3 exons. NCBI's taxonomy places the organism in Eukaryota, Viridiplantae, Streptophyta, Magnoliopsida, Zingiberales, Musaceae.